GGACCCGCACAAGCGGUGGAGUAUGUGGCUUAAUUCGAUGCAACGCGAAGAACCUUACCUAGGCUUGACAUGCAUCUCUAAGCGCGUGAAAGCGCGUGACCCUUCGGGGGAUUUGCACAGGUGCUGCAUGGCCGUCGUCAGCUCGUGUCGUGAGAUGUUGGGUUAAGUCCCGCAACGAGCGCAACCCUUGUGAUUAGUUGCCAGCACGUUAAGGUGGGAACUCUAAUCAGACUGCCCAGAUCAACUGGGAGGAAGGUGGGGACGACGUCAGGUCAGUAUGGCCCUUACGCCUAGGGCUGCACACGUACUACAAUGCCCAGUACAAUGAGAACCGAGACCGCGAGGUGGAGGAAAUCUAAAAAACUGGGCCCAGUUCGGAUUGGAGGCUGCAACUCGCCUCCAUGAAGUUGGAAUCGCUAGUAAUGGCACAUCAGCUACGGUGCCGUGAAUACGUUCCCGGGUCUUGUACACACCGCCCGUCACAUCAUGGAAGCCGGUCGCACCCGAAGCGCUCGUACCAACCGUAAGGAGGUAGAGUUCUAAGGUGUAGCUGGUAACUGGGAUGAAGUCGUAACAAGGUAGCCGUAGGGGAACCUGCGGCU
RNAcentral lists this ribosomal RNA (602 nucleotides) under uncultured Verrucomicrobiaceae bacterium. RNAcentral describes it as "bacterial SSU rRNA". It matches the Rfam family "Bacterial small subunit ribosomal RNA", at positions 917 to 1519 of the family's 1533-position model. The record is from RNAcentral. Lineage: Bacteria; Pseudomonadati; Verrucomicrobiota; Verrucomicrobiia; Verrucomicrobiales; Verrucomicrobiaceae.